Molecule: long non-coding RNA, 1022 nt
Organism: Ictalurus punctatus (channel catfish)
Lineage: Eukaryota; Metazoa; Chordata; Actinopteri; Siluriformes; Ictaluridae
Source: Ensembl
AUUUUGGCCAUGACUCUUUCUCAUCAGAGCUGGAAAGAUGGUACACGCCCAUGGGGAAAACAGUAGUGCUGGCUCUACAGCAAGAGACAAACAACAAGUGAGAUGAGCAACUUGUGCACCCAGGGUUCAGUGGUCUUGCAUUACAAAAAUGUAGUUUUUAUUUACAUAAAGGGCAUGUUGACUAAUUUUCACUCUCCCUGAUUCCUUUGAAAUUAAAUCCUCAUGUUUUAUUAGUAUAUAGAUGAUUCUGGAGUUCAGCAUUUAAUUUUAGUCUCCUUUUCCAGAAACACAACCGUUAAGACUUUCUAAUAAGACAUUUAAAUGGAGUCAGCAGAGGUCCAACCAUGCUGCUCUAGAAAACCUCCACAGUCUUCUGCUCCUGUUGGCUCAGAGGUUAGUGGUAAUGUGCGCACAGAAACAUGUACAGUGUCUGGUGGAGAGACCUCAGGCUCUGUGGGACAAGCCACGGACCUUCAGAUGGAUAUCAAAAAGGAAGAACCUGAAUAUGAAGAGUGAAACCACGACAGGCUUUGUGGGACACAUCACACCAGUGUGUCAACACACACAUGUAAAAAAGGAAGAACCUGAAGAAGAAGACUAUCUCUGUGAUUGGACAUUGAACUCUGUGUCCAAACCAAAUGGAGGAUUUCAAAUGAAGCAUGUAAAAGAGGAAGAGUCUGAGGAUGAAGACUACCCCCAUACAAUGGGUUAAGUAACAGUCAUUGUAACAUUCCACUUAAAGUUUUCUAUACAAUUCAUUUUAUAAAAAUAUAGAAAGGUGGUGCAGCGUUGCCACCUCAUAGCGUCAGGGUCACCGGAUUCACCCUGAGCCCAGGUUACUGUCUGUGUGGAGUUAUUCUUCAUGCUUGUUUCUGCAUGUCUUUCUCCAUGUUUGUGUGGGUUUCUUUUGGGUCCUCCAGUUUCUGUCUUAUCUCCCAAAAACUAGGCAUUAGAGGAGUUGCCCCUAGGUGUGAAAGAGUGUGUGAAUGUGUGUGCGUAUGGUGCUCUGGGAUGGACAUGUG